UGGGGAAUAUUGCGCAAUGGGGGAACCCUGACGCAGCAAUGCCGCGUGCGGGAUGACGGCCCUCGGGUUGUAAACCGCUUUCAGCAGGGAAGAUAAUGACGGUACCUGCACAAGAAGCCCCGGCUAACUACGUGCCAGCAGCCGCGGUAACACGUAGGGGGCGAGCGUUAUCCGGAUUCAUUGGGCGUAAAGCGCGCGCAGGCGGGCGCCUAAGCGGGACCUCUAAUCUUGGGGCUCAACCUCAAGCCGGGUCCCGAACUGGCGCCUCGAGUGCGGUAGGGGAGGUCGGAAUUCCCGGUGUAGCGGUGGAAUGCGCAGAUAUCGGGAAGAACACCGACGGCGAAGGCAGACCUCUGGGCCGCCACUGACGCUGAGGCGCGAAAGCUAGGGGAGCGAACAGGAUUAGAUACCC
This 412-nucleotide ribosomal RNA is filed under the name uncultured bacterium. RNAcentral describes it as "bacterial SSU rRNA". It matches the Rfam family "Bacterial small subunit ribosomal RNA", at positions 355 to 787 of the family's 1533-position model. The record is from RNAcentral.